RNAcentral lists this ribosomal RNA (484 nucleotides) under uncultured bacterium. Its description in RNAcentral is "partial 16S ribosomal RNA". It matches the Rfam family "Bacterial small subunit ribosomal RNA", at positions 36 to 507 of the family's 1533-position model. The record is from RNAcentral.
CUUUCCCUCUGUCGGCAGGCCUAACACAUGCAAGUCGAGCGGAUGAAGGGAGCUUGCUCCUGGAUUCAGCGGCGGACGGGUGAGUAAUGCCUAGGAAUCUGCCUGGUAGUGGGGGAUAACGUCCGGAAACGGGCGCUAAUACCGCAUACGUCCUGAGGGAGAAAGUGGGGGAUCUUCGGACCUCACGCUAUCAGAUGAGCCUAGGUCGGAUUAGCUAGUUGGUGGGGUAAAGGCCUACCAAGGCGACGAUCCGUAACUGGUCUGAGAGGAUGAUCAGUCACACUGGAACUGAGACACGGUCCAGACUCCUACGGGAGGCAGCAGUGGGGAAUAUUGGACAAAGGGCGAAAGCCUGAUCCAGCCAUGCCGCGUGUGUGAAGAAGGUCUUCGGAUUGUAAAGCACUUUAAGUUGGGAGGAAGGGCAGUAAGUUAAUACCUUGCUGUUUUGACGUUACCAACAGAAUAAGCACCGGCUAACUUCGUG